GACAAACGCUAGCGGCGUGCUUAACACAUGCAAGUCGAACGCUCUCUGGCAUUAGUCAGAGGGAGUGGCGGACGGGUGAGUAACACGUGGGUAACCUACCUCAAGGUGAGGAAUACCAACGAGAAAUCGUUGACAAUACCGCAUGAGCUUCUUCGGGAGCAAAGCUUCUCGUAUUGAGAGGCGCCUUGAGAUGGGCCUGCGCCUGAUUAUGCUAGUUGGUGGGGUAAAAGCUCACCAAGGCGACGAUCAGUAGCUGGUCUGAGAGGACGAUCAGCCACACUGGGAUUGAGAACGGCCCAGACUCCUACGGGAGGCAGCAGUGAGGAAUUUUCCGCAAUGGACGCAAGUCUGACGGAGCAACGCCGCGUGCAGGAGGAAGGUCUUCGGAUCGUAAACUGCUUUUAUCGAGGAAGAGAACGGACGGUACUCGAUGAAUAAGCCCGGCUAACUACGUGCCAGCAGCCGCGGUAAUACGUAGGGGGCGAGCGUUGUCCGGAUUUAUUGGGCGUAAAGGGCCCGCAGGCGGUCCGCCAAGUUUGGGGUGAAAGCUCCUCGCUUAACGAGGAGAGAGCCGCAAAAACUGGUGGACUUGAGAGCGAGAGAGGGACACGGAACUCCGGGUGAAGCAGUGAAAUGCGUAGAUAUCCGGAAGAACACCAAAGGCGAAGGCAGUGUCCUGGCUCGUAUCUGACGCUCAGGGGCGAAAGCCAGGGGAGCGAACGGGAUUAGAUACCCCGGUAGUCCUGGCCGUAAACGAUGACCACUCGACGCACGAAGAUUCGACCCUUUGUGUGUCUGAGCUAACGCGAUAAGUGGUCCGCCUGGGGAGUACGAUCGCAAGAUUAAAACUCAAAGGAAUUGACGGGGACCCGCACAAGCAGCGGAGCGUGUGGUUUAAUUCGAAGCAACGCGAAGAACCUUACCAGGGUUUGACAUGACCAGGAAGUCCAUCGAAAGGUGGGUCCCUCCGGGGUCUGGUCACAGGUGCUGCACGGCUGUCGUCAGCUCGUGCCGUGAGGUGUUGGGUUAAGUCCCGCAACGAGCGCAACCCUUGCCGUUAGUUGAAAUUAACUAGCAGGACUGCCACCCUUAAGGUGGAGGAAGGUGGGGAUGACGUCAAGUCAGCACGGCCCUGACGUCCUGGGCGACACACACGCUACAAUGGUCGGGACAGAGGGUUGCCAACCCGCGAGGGGGAGCCAAUCCCAGCAAACCCGAUCUCAGUUCGGAUUGGAGGCUGAAACUCGCCUCCAUGAAGAUGGAGUUGCUAGUAACCGUGAGUCAGCACAUCACGGUGAAUACGUUCCUGGGUCUUGUACAUACCGCCCGUCACACCACGAAAGUCGGCAACACCUGAAGCCGCUGGGCUAACCCUUCUUGAAAGGGAGGCAGGCGUCAAGGGCGGGGUCGGUGAUUGGGGUGAAGU
This 1426-nucleotide ribosomal RNA is filed under the name uncultured bacterium. Its description in RNAcentral is "bacterial SSU rRNA". It matches the Rfam family "Bacterial small subunit ribosomal RNA". The record is from RNAcentral.